Long non-coding RNA from Diceros bicornis minor, 693 nucleotides. RefSeq lists it as uncharacterized. The record is from RefSeq and is a predicted model, not a curated record. NCBI's taxonomy places the organism in Eukaryota, Metazoa, Chordata, Mammalia, Perissodactyla, Rhinocerotidae. The transcript has 3 exons.
CUGUCUUCAAGAUGCGUGCAGCUUCACAGAGGAGGAAUAUAGGAAAAAGACUUCUCAAGUACACUGAUAGAGAUUUUUUUACAGAGCUGUAUAAACAUGUUGUGGCAACAGAGAGAAUUCACACCUAGUGAAGUCUGGUUAGUACGAAAAGGCCACAAUCGGCUCACUGUUGAGGUUGGUGGGACAACAUGCUGGUGCGUUCAUGGAUUUGCUCUGGUCAUUAUCACCUCAGCCAGUUUUAUCUAACCUGUUGCCCUGGCAUUGACUCAAUACAGCUUGUGGAUGAAGGUGCUCAUGUGACAGGUGGUGAAGAACUCCUCAGUGGAUGCUUCUUCUAGGCUAAGAACUGAAAACUUUGAGCCCCUAGACGUCUCAGCAACCCCAUGGGGUCAACGCAAGUAGUGAAUUGUAUUUCUUCCCAUUUCUCUACACCAAAGGCAAGAAAAGCCCAGAUUUGAAACUUGAAAGGAAAAUAAAUCUUAACUGUGAACACUGUUUUUCAAUCAACAUUGACCGCCCACUCUUCCUGAAUAUUCCACCUGAGCACUCUUUUUCUAUUAGCGUCAAGAAAUUGCUGAAGGAAGAAAUGUUAGAUCUGGUUUUUAAUUAACUUUGCCAUUGAUUUCUACAUAACUGGGUACGAGUCACUGUUCUUUCGUGAAAGGGAUGAAAAUCUCAAAGAUUAAUGGUUGU